GACGAACGCUGGCGGCGUGCUUAACACAUGCAAGUCGAACGGAAAGGCCCUGCUUUUGUGGGGUGCUCGAGUGGCGAACGGGUGAGUAACACGUGAGUAACCUGCCCUUUACUUUGGGAUAACUUCAGGAAACUGGGGCUAAUACCGGAUAGGAGCUCCUGCUGCAUGGUGGGGGUUGGAAAGUUUCGUCGGUUGGGGAUGGACUCGCGGCUUAUCAGCUUGUUGGUGGGGUAGUGGCUUACCAAGGCUUUGACGGGUAGCCGGCCUGAGAGGGUUACCGGCCACAUGGGGACUGAGAUACGGCCCAGACUCCUACGGGAGGCAGCAGUGGGGAAUAUUGCACAAUGGGCGGAAGCCUGAUGCAGCAACGCCGCGUGCGGGAUGACGGCCUUCGGGUUGUAAACCGCUUUCGCCUGUGACGAAGCGUGAGUGACGGUAAUGGGUAAAGAAGCACCGGCUAACUACGUG
Molecule: ribosomal RNA, 468 nt
Filed under: uncultured bacterium
Lineage: Bacteria
Description: partial 16S ribosomal RNA
Rfam family: Bacterial small subunit ribosomal RNA
Source: RNAcentral